Molecule: transfer RNA, 62 nt
Filed under: Discolomatidae sp. 3 ACP-2013
Lineage: Eukaryota; Metazoa; Arthropoda; Insecta; Coleoptera; Discolomatidae
Description: tRNA-Arg
Source: RNAcentral
UAAAUAAGAAAUAAAAUUUAUAUUUAGUUUCGACCUAAAAUUUUGAUCUUUGAUCCUUAUUU